UACGUAGGGUGCAAGCGUUGUCCGGAAUUAUUGGGCGUAAAGAGCUCGUAGGCGGUCUGUCGCGUCGGCUGUGAAAACCCGAGGCUCAACCUCGGGCCUGCAGUCGAUACGGGCAAACUAGAGUACUGCAGGGGAGACUGGAAUUCCUGGUGUAGCGGUGGAAUGCGCAGAUAUCAGGAGGAACACUGGUGGCGAAGGCGGGUCUCUGGGCCGUUACUGACGCUGAGGAGCGAAAGCGUGGGGAGCGAACAGG
RNAcentral lists this ribosomal RNA (253 nucleotides) under uncultured bacterium. RNAcentral's name for it is "partial 16S ribosomal RNA". It matches the Rfam family "Bacterial small subunit ribosomal RNA", at positions 524 to 776 of the family's 1533-position model. The record is from RNAcentral.